GCGGAAGUGGUGAAAUUGGUAUACACGCUAUCUUGAGGGGGUAGUGCUCGUAAGAGCAUACGGGUUCAAGUCCCGUCUUCCGCACCA
This 87-nucleotide transfer RNA is filed under the name Ignavibacteriota bacterium. RNAcentral describes it as "Ignavibacteriae bacterium (activated sludge metagenome) tRNA-Leu". It matches the Rfam family "tRNA". Rfam says of the family: Transfer RNA (tRNA) molecules are approximately 80 nucleotides in length. Their secondary structure includes four short double-helical elements and three loops (D, anti-codon, and T loops). RNAcentral also lists the same sequence under 1 other name. Lineage: Bacteria; Pseudomonadati; Ignavibacteriota. The record is from RNAcentral.